This 1371-nucleotide ribosomal RNA is filed under the name uncultured beta proteobacterium. RNAcentral describes it as "bacterial SSU rRNA". It matches the Rfam family "Bacterial small subunit ribosomal RNA", at positions 27 to 1397 of the family's 1533-position model. Lineage: Bacteria; Pseudomonadati; Pseudomonadota; Betaproteobacteria. The record is from RNAcentral.
GAUUGAACGCUGGCGGCAUGCCUUACACAUGCAAGUCGAACGGCAGCACGGGUGCUUGCACCUGGUGGCGAGUGGCGAACGGGUGAGUAAUACAUCGGAACAUGUCCUGUAGUGGGGGAUAGCCCGGCGAAAGCCGGAUUAAUACCGCAUACGAUCUACGGAUGAAAGCGGGGGACCUUCGGGCCUCGCGCUAUAGGGUUGGCCGAUGGCUGAUUAGCUAGUUGGUGGGGUAAAGGCCUACCAAGGCGACGAUCAGUAGCUGGUCUGAGAGGACGACCAGCCACACUGGGACUGAGACACGGUCCAGACUCCUACGGGAGGCAGCAGUGGGGAAUUUUGGACAAUGGGCGAAAGCCUGAUCCAGCAAUGCCGCGUGUGUGAAGAAGGCCUUCGGGUUGUAAAGCACUUUUGUCCGGAAAGAAAUCCUUGGCUCUAAUACAGUCGGGGGAUGACGGUACCGGAAGAAUAAGCACCGGCUAACUACGUGCCAGCAGCCGCGGUAAUACGUAGGGUGCGAGCGUUAAUCGGAAUUACUGGGCGUAAAGCGUGCGCAGGCGGUUUGCUAAGACCGAUGUGAAAUCCCCGGGCUCAACCUGGGAACUGCAUUGGUGACUGGCAGGCUAGAGUAUGGCAGAGGGGGGUAGAAUUCCACGUGUAGCAGUGAAAUGCGUAGAGAUGUGGAGGAAUACCGAUGGCGAAGGCAGCCCCCUGGGCCAAUACUGACGCUCAUGCACGAAAGCGUGGGGAGCAAACAGGAUUAGAUACCCUGGUAGUCCACGCCCUAAACGAUGUCAACUAGUUGUUGGGGAUUCAUUUCCUUAGUAACGUAGCUAACGCGUGAAGUUGACCGCCUGGGGAGUACGGUCGCAAGAUUAAAACUCAAAGGAAUUGACGGGGACCCGCACAAGCGGUGGAUGAUGUGGAUUAAUUCGAUGCAACGCGAAAAACCUUACCUACCCUUGACAUGGUCGGAAUCCCGCUGAGAGGUGGGAGUGCUCGAAAGAGAACCGGCGCACAGGUGCUGCAUGGCUGUCGUCAGCUCGUGUCGUGAGAUGUUGGGUUAAGUCCCGCAACGAGCGCAACCCUUGUCCUUAGUUGCUACGCAAGAGCACUCUAAGGAGACUGCCGGUGACAAACCGGAGGAAGGUGGGGAUGACGUCAAGUCCUCAUGGCCCUUAUGGGUAGGGCUUCACACGUCAUACAAUGGUCGGAACAGAGGGUUGCCAACCCGCGAGGGGGAGCUAAUCCCAGAAAACCGAUCGUAGUCCGGAUUGCACUCUGCAACUCGAGUGCAUGAAGCUGGAAUCGCUAGUAAUCGCGGAUCAGCAUGCCGCGGUGAAUACGUUCCCGGGUCUUGUACACACCGCCCGU